Molecule: long non-coding RNA, 1369 nt
Filed under: Homo sapiens (human)
Lineage: Eukaryota; Metazoa; Chordata; Mammalia; Primates; Hominidae
Description: HSALNT0021287
Source: RNAcentral
UCUGUCUCUCUCAAUCUCUCUCGGAGGCUGAAGAUGUGAUUGGGCCAGCUGGUGACCUGUUGCUGGCCUCAUGCUUCCACAUGAAGAUGCCAGGCUGCAAAACGGAGAAGAAGGAAGCCCAUGCAGAGAUGGCUUCUGAGUGAGAGCUUAGGAGCAGCUGCCCGGGUGCCCGUAGGCGGUCAGAUUUCUAGAUGCACUUCCUGUUCUUGGGUUCCGCAAGACACCCUCUGGCUCUUUUGCAUACAUUUUAAGCAACUACUUCUGAAGUUGGGAAAUCAGGAGUAGCCGCUGACUCUAAAGAGAAACUAUAUCAAUUUGGAAUGUAUUUGCAUUAUCAGUGAGUUUACUGGAAGUAUUAAAGCUGGACCAUCACUUGGAGAUGUUGUAAGGAAAUGUGAACAUUUGGCGAACAGACCUUUAAAUAAAGAAGGAAGCCAUGGGAGUGGCUGAGAUCUCCCUGAGAGAAAGUGGAGAGAUGUUCAGAGGUAACUUCGUUUAGAAACUUUUAUUUAAAAAUCACAUUUAGAAACUAGAAGGUGUGGGGGGACCCAGUAAAGGAGACAGAAAGGGAUUUACCAGAGAGUUGCGGGAGCUACGAUUGUGGUGUCAAAGAACCAAAGGGAGGAGCAAAUGCAAGAUCUCAACCAAUAAGGAAGUGUAAGCGACGAAGGGCAGGCCUUGGGGUGGGUCGACUCAGCAGCUCCACCAUUUUACUGAGAGCCCAGGUGCUUUCUACCUCUCUGCUCUGCUGUGCUUGGCGUUGGCUUCACCUGAGGGUUGAAGGUUCUUUCCUUGGAUGAGAGAUAACUGUGAGUAACUGGCACAGUGGAAGGGAGAGAAAGGACACUUUCCCAGCCAUGGAAUCUGAGCUUCUGUCUUCAGUCUGAUUGGGCUAUUUUAGAUCCUGUGCUCACCCUAGCCCAAAAAGAUUCCCCGGAGAAAUGCCAUUUACUAAUACCCUUCGCCUAUCAGGAACCACCCCUGUGGACCCAGGAACAGGGUCUGUGUCCCUUGAAGCACGUGACAGCAGAGGACGGGAGGCUCCACCUGAACAUGACCAGGGGUCUCCUGGGGAGGAAAAAUGGAGAUGGAAGCUGCAGAGGAAACGAACAGCUGCCCCCACACAUGCCGUACAAGGCCUGCAUGGGAUGAUCUGAGAGUCACUUUGCCCGAGGUCACACGCCCCUCCUGGAAACAGCCAUCAUCCAAUGACUGGUCAAGAAAGGCCUGGCCCCCUUGCCUUGAGGCAGAACUGUGAAGGGCCAUCCCAGCUCCAGAGUCCUCUGUGGGUUCAGCUAAGUGAGGCUUUUUUUUUUUGCCAUUCAACUUCUCCUCCUGGCCAAUCCUACUUUCACUAACCUUAGGUUUU